RNAcentral lists this long non-coding RNA (230 nucleotides) under Mytilus galloprovincialis (Mediterranean mussel). Lineage: Eukaryota; Metazoa; Mollusca; Bivalvia; Mytilida; Mytilidae. The record is from RNAcentral.
AUUAAAAACACAUAUAUUAUAUUUGAAAAUACAAGUUGUUUUUUGGUUAUUAAAAUGUAUACUUGGAUUGUAGUCUUGUAUGCUCAUGUGUGCUCAGUUACAAGUAUAGGUUUAUAUUUGCAUAGGGAAUUUUUUGGAUGAGAAAAGAAUGCACACUUUUAAGAGCUUAACAUAUGGUAGAUGCAUAUACGUUUUUUUUUUUAUAGUAUUACUCAAAAUAUUGGUUGCAC